Spodoptera frugiperda (fall armyworm) is the source of this 371-nucleotide long non-coding RNA. RefSeq lists it as uncharacterized. The transcript has 2 exons. Lineage: Eukaryota; Metazoa; Arthropoda; Insecta; Lepidoptera; Noctuidae. The record is from RefSeq and is a predicted model, not a curated record.
UUUUUAAUUAAUUUAUUGUUCCAGGGCUGCGUCGGUCAACGUCGCAUGUUGGUGUCUUGGCGAUACUAAAUUGUUUGCUGUACAGGCACUGGUCUGUCCGAUGAUCAGAAGACUUAUAAAACACGAACUUGUCAUUUUCUCAUCUAAAAUCAGUGUUAGACUUUAGUGAUUGGAAAAUUACAUGAAAAUGAUGCAGGUAAAGUUAUUUUAUCAACAACGUGAGUUGAAUGUAGUGAAUUUUAUACUUGUACAUAAUAAUUAACUUGUACUAGGACUUUUAAGAUGAUAGUGAUGUUUCGCUUCGACGAACCUUAUGUACGUAACUGUUACUUUAAAUAAGAAAUUUAAAAUAAAGGAGAUCCCUGUUUUUA